RNAcentral lists this long non-coding RNA (455 nucleotides) under Equus caballus (horse). Its description in RNAcentral is "lncRNA (ENSECAG00000054992.1)". The record is from RNAcentral. Lineage: Eukaryota; Metazoa; Chordata; Mammalia; Perissodactyla; Equidae.
UGUUUUCGUGUUACUAAUUAGCUUCUUUUCAUUUCAGCUUGAAUAACAGCUUUUAGCAUUUCUUGUAAGGCAAAUCGAGAGGUGUCCAGCCUCUGCAUGUGUCCUCUCUGUCUAGAAGCAGUUCUUGCUGAAGGCCCCUGGGAGCUCAGCCGUCCAGCGUCUGCUGGAGAGUCAGGGAGCUUUGUCUGGCCUGGAGUCCUCCCCCAAGAGGGUCCACUCCGUCUGACAGACCCUGGGAGACGGAGCUAUGGGUGGGAAGUCAGCAGCCGAAGCGGCUCAGAACACUUGCGCCGUGACAACAGACCUGCUGUCACUCUGCUGCUGCUGCUGGCCCACGCACGCUGUAUGGGGCCAGACCCUCCUAGCACCCUCGUUCCCACCCUGGAGCUGGUGGUGGCCGAGUGGCGCGGGAGGUAGAGGGAGAAUUUUACUUCCCUUUUGAUAUCAUUCUCUAC